Long non-coding RNA from Oryzias melastigma (Indian medaka), 628 nucleotides. RefSeq lists it as uncharacterized. The record is from RefSeq and is a predicted model, not a curated record. The transcript has 3 exons. Lineage: Eukaryota; Metazoa; Chordata; Actinopteri; Beloniformes; Adrianichthyidae.
UGGCUACCUGGGGACUUCCUGUCACCCAGGUGCCAGACUGAUUACAAACAUUACAAAUGAGAGGAGAGUCUCUCAGAAGUCAGCUGUAAGAGGCCUGACCUCAGUGAGCCACUCUUACAACGUUGACAGCCGCAGAACACACACUACUAAGGAUUACCGAGACAUAGGAGAAGAGUGCCAAUCAUGUUGGUGGAAGAUGGUGGAAAUCUAUCAACUAUUGGGUGAGACCUUCACAUGCCUCUUCACUGGACCGAUCCGAGAAAACAAAGCUCCUGCGAUUAUUCAGUCCAAGUGGAGGUCGUGAGAGGAAGUGCGAGAGAGCAAUCUACGAUGCUGCCUGAAGAGCCCAACUUUACUGCAGCACAGAAGUGGAUCGAAUCGGGAGGGAGAGAAAAAGUGCCUGCUGAUCCUCCCCAGAGAAAUCAACACUUAUGCAUGAAAAGCUUCUUUGACUGUUAACUUUGUUUCCCUGUUCGUUGUUCAAUAGGAUGCCCUUUUUUUCCAUGUCCUUCUGUUUACACCUUGACACAAUAAAGGCAGCAUAAGGCAGUGACAGAAAAUAAUGAAUACCACGCAAAUGAUAAAAAGUGCAUGCCUCAGAGUGAACAAAUAAUAAAAAGGAAAUUUA